GCAGCUUGUAACUGAAAAGAUUUAGGAUUACUCCUUCCCUUCUCCUAGGGUUUAUUUCCGGCCUCGCUUGUGGCUGGAUUUUGGAAAUUUGUCUCUCUGUGCAACUUGAGGUUCCAUUUCCUCACUUCUCUUGUUCUCAUUGCCCACUCGCUUUGGAUGGCCUCUCUUACUUCUCGUUUUCUCAGCUCCAGCACUGGGGAGCUUCUUAGUAGCCAAGGAGCCAGUUCUCUUCUUUUUGCCUUGGGUCAAAGGAUGUUUCUUCCGUUGCUUCCUCUGCUCUUCUCUUUGGCGGAUUUUCAUUAGUUUCUCAAAGCUUUUGGUGGUAUUUGUGUUCAUAUCAAACCAGUCCUCAGCGUGUGCAGAGUUGAUGUGAUACUUGACUCCACUCUCUGAAAUGAACUCUUUCUCACACAGGAGACACUUGUAUUUGCC
RNAcentral lists this long non-coding RNA (432 nucleotides) under Gallus gallus (chicken). Lineage: Eukaryota; Metazoa; Chordata; Aves; Galliformes; Phasianidae. The record is from RNAcentral.